Long non-coding RNA from Nanorana parkeri, 149 nucleotides. RefSeq lists it as uncharacterized. NCBI's taxonomy places the organism in Eukaryota, Metazoa, Chordata, Amphibia, Anura, Dicroglossidae. The transcript is spliced from 3 exons. The record is from RefSeq and is a predicted model, not a curated record.
UCAUAAUUUUUAAAGAGUGACUGUCAACUCUGUCCCGCAGCAGCUCCUCCUCUGACCCGCUGUUGACUCACCGACAGUCCCAUUCACUUUAAUGGGACGGCUGGUGAUGCGGCAGUGACACAACAAGGUGAGGGAUGUGGUGGCAGCAG